Molecule: long non-coding RNA, 2434 nt
Filed under: Betta splendens (Siamese fighting fish)
Lineage: Eukaryota; Metazoa; Chordata; Actinopteri; Anabantiformes; Osphronemidae
Description: lncRNA (ENSBSLG00000023737.1)
Source: RNAcentral
AAUAAAUGACGGAUGAAUGAAUGGCGAUCCACUGGACUGCUGUGUUUUACUCUGACAGAGCACCAACCCCAUCCUUUGCUAUCCAAACACAGCUUGUUUGGAUAGCAAAGUUUUAAUAAAACCGCUCUCAGACAAAACGUCUUUGUUAAAACAACCCUAAACAAUUUCAACAUCUUCCAUUAACAUUCAGUUCAAAUUUAAAUCCAUGUUUUAAUUCCUGUGCAUGGUAAGCACGGAAAUAAUAUGCAGGGAGAAACCAGAAAUAAAAAAAGAUUGACUAGGUUUCUGACCAAUCAGAGCUAAGAGUGCCUCAUAGUUCGGAAUCGGUGUCGCAGACUCGAGAUCUAAUUGGUUAUCGGAUUGGUUAUCGCCUGGCUACACAAGUCUGAUGAAAUAUGAUUGGAUAAAAACUUUACAAUAAUAUACAACAGUUGGAGCGGCGAAACCAAGCGGAUAUAAUAUGACACGAAGAAAACAGACCACGGAGAAUCAUUUUAUCUGCAAACAAAAUCUGACCAUGUUUAGGCUAGCAGAGAACGCUUAGCUGCGUGUGAUGGCCGCCACUGUGUCCCCUUUGCGUUGUCACGCACGUCCGUGCACGUGCGUCAAAACCAUGGUAACCGCCGCUGACUUUAUAAAAGAAGCGCAGCAAUGUGAUUUUACACAUUCGCCUCUGGUCUUGCAGACAUUGACAGCAAAAGAAAAUCUGUGAGUAUAUUAAUUUGUUUUGCAAGAGCAAUGGAGCGCCACUUGCCCCCGAGGAUCUGGGAGCUCUGGACACGGUUCAGACGGUGGAGCCGCGGAGGCAGACAGCGGUGGCAGCCGGAGGGGGAAGUUGCUGUGCACGGUCGUCCACCUAGGCGUUGGAGGACUCGCUUUGAGCGAGCCACUUCCCACGUUCUGGAAGUUGGCCCCCCCACCUCUGGCAUUGAGGUACCCCGCUUUGACCUGCCUUCUUACACACAACUUCCUCUUUACACUGAUCUCUUUCCUCCUCAUUCUCCUCCACGCUUUCCUGUUCCUUCUGCUAUUCCUUCCACACCUCCUCCUCCCUAUUCUCCUCCACGCUCUCCUGUUCCUUCUUCUGUUCCUUCCACACCCCCUCCUCCCUAUUCUCCUGUUCCCUCUUGCUCUUUUGCUGCUCCUCAUUCUCCUCCACGCUCUCCUGUUCCUUCUUCUGUUCCUUCCACACCCCCCUCCUCCCUAUUCUCCUGUUCCUUCUUGCUCUUUUGCUGCUCCUCAUUCUCCUCCACGCUCUCCUGUUCGUCCUUCUUCUGUUCCUUCCACACCCCCUCCUCCUUAUUCUCCUGUUCCUUCUUGCUCUCCGGCUCCUCCUCUUUCUCCUCCAUGCUCUUUUGCUCCUUCUUCUUCUAUUCCACCUUCACCCCCUGCUCCUUCCCCUCUGGUUCCACUUAUUGUGGCUCCUUCUGAGCUGCCCUGUGUUCCCGAUGCUGGCCUUUCCCUGUCUCCUGUUAUUCAGGACUCAGGCUCCACAGUGGAAGGGACCAGCGAGGACUUAGCGGUUGGGGAAACCAACGAGGCUCCUAGCAGCAGCAGCAGCAGCAGCAGCACACCUGGUAGAGGUAGGGAGGACAGUGAUGAGGAGGGGGCUGCUCCCAAAAGACCAUGUUUUACUGUGAGACACUGUGUCACACAGUAAACUUGGUCUUUGCCUUUGUUGGAUGGCAGCAGCCACCUCUUUGUUCACGGAUAACUGGCCUCUGUUUUUGACAGGACCAGUUUAUCCUACUGUCUUCUUUUUUUUUUCUUGAUUUCUUUCUUCAUAAUUUUAAAUAUUCAUCCAAACCCUGAGAACUAGCCUUUGCGUCUGGCUGGGCAGUUCUUGUCCCAGGUAGCGUCUGGCACUGGGACCUUUCUUUCUUUCCUGGAUGAAUACAGGUUUGAAUGUUAAUAUUUACCCUGAGAACUAGCCUUUGCGUCUGGCUGGGCAGUUCUUGUCGCAGGUUGCGUCUGGCACUGGGGCCUGCGUUUACAGUUCAGCAUGGUGGUGGGAUGGACUUUUCUUUCACCCUGGAGGCUGAGUUCAGCGCCUGGCAGGGCCGUCGACCCCCCCCCAUGCAAGUUGCUCUAGCGUCUGGCAGGGUAACUAUUAUUUUUAUUACCAUGUUUUCCUCUACAGCCAUAGGUCAGUUCAGUUACAGUGGCACUGGGGACACAUGUCAUCUCCCACUGAAGCUCCUCAGUGGCAGAGGAGGAUGGACUGCAGUGUCAUGUGCUUUGGAGGGGACACAUGGUUGUCUGCUGUUCUAAUCAUGCUCCACACCACAGGGAGCAGUGCCACUGAUACUGAUGUACUGACCAGUGUGUCUGUCAGUCCAGCAGACAAAGGUGAGUACAAGAUUUUGAAUGUGUGACAAUUUCAGAGAUGUCAAAGGAAGUAGUUGAGUGGAAAUAAAUGUUUGUAUUACAUUCA